Molecule: long non-coding RNA, 132 nt
Organism: Telopea speciosissima
Lineage: Eukaryota; Viridiplantae; Streptophyta; Magnoliopsida; Proteales; Proteaceae
Exons: 3
Source: RefSeq, a predicted model, not a curated record
UAUUUGAGCUUGCAUAUUUGUUGCUAUCCCUUUGGCCGGUCAGGUUCUGUGGUAUCUUAUGUGCAGAAGUUGUAAUGUUGGCGCUGGAUGCUUCGCUGUGCCACAAGUUAUUGGAGCAUGGUCGGUCACUUC